This 255-nucleotide ribosomal RNA is filed under the name uncultured bacterium. Its description in RNAcentral is "partial 16S ribosomal RNA". It matches the Rfam family "Bacterial small subunit ribosomal RNA", at positions 524 to 776 of the family's 1533-position model. The record is from RNAcentral.
GACAGAGGGUGCAAACGUUGCUCGGAUUUACUGGGCGUAAAGCGCAAGUAGGCGGUCUUGUAAGUCGGGUGUGAAAACCCGGGGCUCAACCCCGGCAGUGCACACGAUACUGCGAGACUGGGGUACUGAAGAGGAGAGCGGAAUUCUCGGUGUAGAGGUGAAAUUCGUAGAGAUCCGGAAGAACACCGGUGGCGAAGGCGGCCUGCUGGGGCUAUGGCUGACACUGAGGCGCGACAGCGUGGGGGAGCAAACAGG